RNAcentral lists this ribosomal RNA (483 nucleotides) under uncultured bacterium. Its description in RNAcentral is "bacterial SSU rRNA". It matches the Rfam family "Bacterial small subunit ribosomal RNA", at positions 36 to 518 of the family's 1533-position model. The record is from RNAcentral.
CUGGCGGCGUGCCUAACACAUGCAAGUCGAACGAAGCUCCUGAUCUGAUCCUUCGGGUGAAGUGAAGGAAGACUUAGUGGCGGACGGGUGAGUAACGCGUGAGCAACCUGCCUUUCAGAGGGGGAUAACAGUUGGAAACGACUGCUAAUACCGCAUAACAUAUUGUUGUCGCAUGGCAAUGAUAUCAAAGCUGAGGCGCUGAGAGAUGGGCUCGCGUCCGAUUAGAUAGUUGUGGGGUAACGGCCUACCAAGUCGACGAUCGGUAGCCGGACUGAGAGGUUGAACGGCCACAUUGGGGCUGAGACACGGCCCAGACUCCUACGGGAGGCAGCAGUGGGGGAUAUUGCACAAUGGGCGAAAGCCUGAUGCAGCAACGCCGCGUGAGGGAAGACGGUUUUCGGAUUGUAAACCUCUGUCUUUGGUGAAGAAGGAAGUGACGGUAACCAAGGAGGAAGCCACGGCUAACUACGUGCCAGCAGCCGC